RNAcentral lists this ribosomal RNA (440 nucleotides) under uncultured bacterium. RNAcentral's name for it is "partial 16S ribosomal RNA". It matches the Rfam family "Bacterial small subunit ribosomal RNA", at positions 338 to 795 of the family's 1533-position model. The record is from RNAcentral.
CCUACGGGAGGCUGCAGUAGGGAAUAUUGCACAAUGAGGGAAACCCUGAUGCAGCGACGCCGCGUGGAGGAUGAAGGUUUUCGGAUUGUAAACUCCUGUUGUUAGAGAAGAUAAUGACGGUAUCUAACGAAUAAGCACCUGCUAACUCCUUGCCAGCAGCCGCGGUCAUACGGAGGGUGCGAGCGUUCAGCGGAAUCACUGGGCGGAAAGAGGGCGUAGGCGGGGUAGCAAGGUAGAUGUGAAAUCCCAUGGCUUAACCAUAGAACUGCAUUUGACACUGGUAUUCUAGAGUAUGGGAGAGGUAGGUGGAAUUCUUUGUGUAGGGGUAAAAUCCGUAGAGAUAAAGAAGAAUACUCAGUGCGAAGGCGACCUGCUAGAUCAUAACUGACGCUGAGGCGCGAAAGCGUGGGGAGCAAACAGGAUUAGAUACCCGGGUAGUC